This is a long non-coding RNA of Antechinus flavipes (yellow-footed antechinus), 3717 nucleotides long. RefSeq lists it as uncharacterized. The record is from RefSeq and is a predicted model, not a curated record. NCBI's taxonomy places the organism in Eukaryota, Metazoa, Chordata, Mammalia, Dasyuromorphia, Dasyuridae. The transcript has 3 exons.
CUGGAAGGGAUGGGCCGUCUCUGGAGGUACCUGUGGGUGCUGUCCCUGAGUGGGAUGGGCCGUCUCUGGAGGUACCUGUGGGUGCUGUCCCUGAGUGGGAUGGGCCGUCUCUGGAGGUACCUGUGGGUGCUGUCCCUGAGUGGGAUGGGCCGUCUCUGGAGGUACCUGUGGGUGCUGUCCCUGAGUGGGAUGGGCCAUCUCUGGAGGUACCAGUGGGGCGCUGUCCCUAAGUGGGAUGGGCCGUCUCUGGAGGCAGGGAGUCAUCCCCUUUCUGACGGCUUCAGGCAGAGGCUGGUGCCCACUUGUGACAUAGGGGAUGGAAGGCUUCCUUGGGGGGGGAGGUAGAUUGUGUGGCCGUCAGGAGCCUUUCUGACAGAAAUCCGGGCUGUGAAGGGGCUGCUUGGGAAAUCUCCGGGAGAGCUGUCUCCUCAGCUUCCUGGGGUGAUUCUCCGUCUUAGAGGAGCUGCUUUGCUUGGCUUUCUAUUUAAUACCCUCAUGAGAAAUAGCCACCCUUUCUCUAAAAUAGUAAGCCCCCAAAUCCUGGCUAUUUUCCUUCAUGAAUCAAAAUACAGUCGUCUAAACAAGUCAGAUAUAUAUUUUUUAAGUCUUCUCCAUUUUGAUUAUAAAGGUGAAAGAACAGUAACAAAGUCUCAAAUUUGCAGGUCACUUUAUUAAAUGUAAGCAUUUAUUCAGUGCUUACAGUAUGCCAGCUGUGUGCUAGAUGUUGGGGACACAAAGAAAAAGGGAAACCUUUCCCUGCCUUCAAGGAGAUGAUAUUCUUUGCGGGGGGGCAAAAUGAGAAGGCAAAUCCAGAGGAGGGGGAGCCCCUGGCUGCUGCAGGAGUACGGAAGGAUUUGUGGGGAGAGACACUGCUUGUGUGGAGGGCUGGGGGAUAGAGCACUGGGGCUGGGUGCACAGCUGCUGCAAAGGUGGGGGCCUGGAAGCUAUUAGGAUGUGAGGAUUCUUUUUAAAACGCAUCAGGAAAAAGGAUUUCUUAAGUGGCUCACCCUUACAUGCUUUCCCAACCAUGACUUGAUUGCCCUCUUGAUGCAGGGGUUUGGGAAUAUUGGGCAGAAAGUCAUCAGGAGAGGGGCCCUGGCCCAUCAGAGAGCUUUUCUGCAGUUGUGGAUGAGACAUUCUCUAAAACGGACAGGAGACUCUUGGGCCAUAGGGACAGAUGGUUCUGUGGCCUGCCUUGGCGGCUCCCUCUGGCCAUAGGGAGAGAUGGUUUCUGUGGACCAUCUUGGGGGCUCCUUCUGGCCAUAGGGAGAGAUGGUUCUGUGGACCGUCUUGGGGGCUCCUUCUGGCCAUAGGGGGAGAUGGUUCUGUGGACCGUCUUGGAGGCUCCUUCUGGCCAUAGGGAGAGAUGGUUCUGUGGCCUGCCUUGGGGGCUCCUUCUGGACAUAGGGGGAGAUGGUUCUGUGGCCUGCCUUGGGGACUCCUUCUGGACAUAGGGGGAGAUGGUUCUGUGGCCUGCCUUGGGGACUCCUUCCUCGCCCAUCUGCACUCACUGGGAGCCUUGUCUCCUUUACAGGACUUUGCUUUCUGUCAGUCCUGCUGCCGUCUGGUAGAGUGGGGCAUUGAAAAGCUGGGGCUUUGCCUUCUUGGGAAGCCGGGGAUCCCUGGGAACGAUCAUUGCAGUUUUCCUGCAGUCGGGUAUAUUUGGACCUCCACCCCUGUUCGACCCAGUGUGGGGAGGAGGGAAGGGAAGAGAACACGUGUUUAUUAAGCACCUAGUGUGUGCCAGACUCUGUGCUCAGAGCCGUACAGUUAUCUCGUUUGGCUCUCAGGGAAUCGAGGUGGAGACGAACCUGUGGUUUUACCCGCCUGGGGAAUUCUGGGAUGAGGAGCCUCCCUCCACCUUCUCCCAUGAGGAAACUAUCCAGCAGUGAGGGCUGAAAGGGCCCCAAGGCCGUCCUCCCACUCAAGGGCUGCCCUCUCUCCGGUCUGGCACCCCAAGGAGCCUCCAUUGUCCCCUCCUGUAGGUUUGUGGAGUGCUCCCUCUCCUUGCCCAUCAGAUGAGGGGAGGUGGUCUCACUCCCAACUCCAAACCCGGGGUUGUGUGAGUGAGGCUCCUCCAGGGAGGACACAGGGUCUGUCCUGACCUCAGGCAGCAGAUGCUGGGAGAGGGGAGGAGCCAGACUUUUACAGACGGACAGACGGACAAGGCCUGUGAGCGUCUGAAGGUACGACUGGCUCCCGUGGGACACAUACUCGACAGGAUUCACCAGACCAAAAACAGAGAAGCUGCAUUGUGGAAGACAUGGCUGAGAAUGAGCCCCCUCAGCCCCGAGAUGGGCUGCUCCACCACCACAGAACCCGUCUUUUCAUGAACUUCCAGUUCCAUCAUUUUAGUAGGACCCCAAGUUCCUGUUCGAUGGCCUGGCCAACGCCAUGCACUGGAUUGAGGGAGCUGGGAACUGCUCUAGACGUCGUGGACAUCCAAAAGUCACCAAGACCGAAGGAUUGCACUCCUAGAGCUGGUCCCCAGAGCGGCCGAAGAGUAGGCAAAAGGGGCGACAGGUGCCAAAAGGGGCCCAGCGGCUCUUGUUAGGGACCGUGAAACUAAGGGGCUGGGUUCCUAUCAGUCCGGGGACAUGGAGAUGAGGGGCUACCGCUGUGACAGAGAAGGAAGGGGCUUCCAAAGGAGCCUGUGCAGACCUGCUUGUUUGGGUGCAUCCAGGAACCAGAACAGUUUAAAAAUUGUAAUAGCUUUUUACUUUCAAAAUCCAUGCAAGGAGAGUUCUCAAUGUGUCUCCCCUUGCAAAACCUCGCGCUCCAUAGUUUUCUCCCCCCUUCCCUACUCCUGUCUCCAAACAGCAAGGGAUCCAAUCGAGGUCAUACAUGUCCAUUUCUAAACCUAUUCCCACCUUUAUCUUGCACAAGAAAAAUCCGAUCAAAAAGGAAAGAAAAAGAGAAAGAAAACACAGUAAGUAAAAACAAGAAAAUGAGAGUGCCGGGAGCCCCCGCGGCCCCUCUCUGGGUGCCGAUGGCUCUCUCCAGCACAAGAAAAAUCCGAUCGAGAAAACAUAGCAAGUAAACAACAAAGGGGAGAGUGCCGGGAGCCCCCGCAGCCCCUCUCUGGGUGCCGAUGGCUCUCUCCAGCACUAGGCCAUUGGAUCUGGCCCGGAUCGUCUCAUUGUUGAGUCAGCCACGUCCCUCAGAGCGGUCACCGUACAGCCUGGCUGCCGAGGACCACGACCUCCUGCUCCGUUCCCUCCCUCAGCCGGGGUUCCUGUGAGUCUCCCCAGACCUGUCUGGUCCUGCCCCCGAUGGUUUCUUACGCUGUAUCCCGCACCCUCAUGCAUUCGGUCUCUCCAAAGUUGGGCCUUUGGCCGCACAUCUCGGGGCUUCCUCCUUCCAUCACGGCUGCUUGUGGGGCUGCCCCGGCGGAGGGGCGGAGAAACGCCCGCAGACUCUCCACCCCUGUGGGCCCUCGGCUCCGCGCUGGCCUCUCAUCCACCGUCUGGGUCUGCGGCCCGGGGAGCGGAGCCGCUCACUAGGAGUCAGGGAGCCUUGGCGCCCAAAGUGGGGCCCCGGGUCAUUUCUCAGAGGAAGGAUGGGGGGGGUGCCCUUCCCUGAGGGCAGAGUCUGGCGGGGCCCUUGGGGCGCCUCUGGCUUAAUUGCCCCCCGUCCCGCCCCAGAGUCAGUCGGUGGCCUUGCUUUAGCAUCGGUCUGGUUCCGAGCGCUUUCCGUGUUGUGACGUGUUGUUGUUCU